This is a small nucleolar RNA of Mastomys coucha (southern multimammate mouse), 128 nucleotides long. RefSeq annotates it as small nucleolar RNA SNORA17. NCBI's taxonomy places the organism in Eukaryota, Metazoa, Chordata, Mammalia, Rodentia, Muridae. The transcript has a single exon. The record is from RefSeq and is a predicted model, not a curated record.
CCUGCCCCUAGAAGCCUUGCCGAUGCUUCUGCCAUGUGUGUCAGUAGGUGGCAGAGAGGAGAGAAGCUGUAUUUAUGGUCAAUGUUCUGACCUAUUUAUCACAUCUGAACGAUUAGCAGCCUACCAUG